Molecule: small nuclear RNA, 118 nt
Organism: Daktulosphaira vitifoliae (grape phylloxera)
Lineage: Eukaryota; Metazoa; Arthropoda; Insecta; Hemiptera; Phylloxeridae
Product: U5 spliceosomal RNA
Exons: 1
Source: RefSeq, a predicted model, not a curated record
GAAUCCCGGCUUCCUUUCAAUACAAAUAAAUAUUUCGCUUUUUACUAAAGAUUUCCGCGAGGGGAAGCAUUCAAAGGAGUCUAAAAAAAAAUAAUUUUUCUCUAACAAGAAUGAUAAA